UAUCCCGAUUGUUAGAGAACGUCGACAGCAGUCUGCCAGGAACAAAGUGGUCGUUGAAGAAAAGCGACAGACAAUUACACGCGUAUAUCGGUCGUUUAAGUGUGGCAUACGUGGUCCGUUGUAUCGUUGCCAAAUUUCAUCGUGAAUCGUUCGUUCAUUCACCGGUUCUUCUUUACGCCGCUAGGACGACAUCUCGCGAACAAGCGCAAACGAACAAGACAGUACGCAGGGAAACACAAACGAACGCAGAUGAACUUAAACGAAGACGAAUAAGCACGAACGAACUCAUAGUUGCGCGCAAGAUCCGACUUCUCCAAUGUCUGUUGCCACCGACCUGGGGAUCUGUCCGACCCAAAGUCCAGUAAAUUUCUGUAUAAUUCAUGCGAUCCGAACCGACAAAAAAAAUGAAGCUGAGAUAACAAUCGGAACAACAUGGAACGCUAUCGCUGCAUAGAUCCGUAUCGUCGGGCACGCUUCUGAAAGAAGAUCUUCUCCACGUUCUGUCAUGUUUGACGCGCGUUUCUAUAACGAGCUACUAAGCACGUUCUUCCACAGUUAAUUCCAACUUGUUUGGCACGCGUGACCUG
This 587-nucleotide unclassified non-coding RNA is filed under the name Bombus terrestris (buff-tailed bumblebee). RNAcentral describes it as "misc RNA ENSBTSG00005032181.1". The record is from RNAcentral. Lineage: Eukaryota; Metazoa; Arthropoda; Insecta; Hymenoptera; Apidae.